CAUCCUGUGUUUAAUGGCCCAAAAACGACGGCUGAAGUGUAAAGGAAACGAACGAGACAUGAUGGCAGUCACGAAGGAAAGCACCAAGACAGCGGUGCGGCUUUUGGUAUCCUUGCUCGUCGCAGGCCAGAAAGAGGGCUGAGGGAGGUAUCCGGCGAUUGCAGAUCGCGAGGGCGAAGAAGCUGUCUUCGGGGUCGACGAGACCGAAGGGGAGGAAGGGAGGAGCAGCGAGGCGACUUUGAUCUCGGAGAAGGGUGCAGCGAGGAGCUGCUCAAGCGGCUUCUCGGCUGCAUGCUCGGUUCCAUCAUCGAGGUGCGAAGGAAGGGUAAUCAGCGACCGCUGGGUUUUUCAGCCGUGAAGCUCGACUGAGAAGAAGAAGUUUCAAGGAUUUUCAGAUCGAGGUUUUGGUGUGGCUGUUCUUGGCUGCUCUUCUGUUAGAUCGAUCAGAAGUAAACACGAUGGAAAUGGGAAACAGUUGGAUUGAAGGGUAAGGACGAAGCAGCAACCGGUAAUCCUCUUGAUUCAUUUUUUUUUAUUUGGCAUCCAAUCCAAAGGAUGACGACACUGGCAGAAUGAUUGAUCAAGGGGGUGUUUGGGUAAGAACGAAAAUGGGCUGCGAUGGUGACUAACAGAUCCGGCUAAGGAAGAGAACAAAAAAAAAACGAAUGGGAAGAUUUGUCUAGCAGUGAAGAAAUGGAUGAAGGGUAAGAGGAUUGUUUCGUUUGGUGUUUGAUUUUCGACAUGGAAGUGAAGGAGAAGAAGGGUGGAGCGUUAGAUUGAGGGUAGAGUGGGGAAGAAGUUAAUCGUGCCUGAAGCAACACUUUAGAUGAUCUUUAUUUGAUUGUAAUUGUACAGUUUGUGGGUUAUAUUUGAUAGUUUAAUUGGUUAAAGGAUGCGUGCAAGCAAUCUUCAAUUUGACAGUCAAUUAGUCAAAGACUUGCAAGUUAAUUAUACUUGGCUGUCAAACUCUUUGUAUUUGGUAGUUUAAAAGAAUGAAUUUUGUGGUAUAA
Molecule: long non-coding RNA, 1010 nt
Organism: Lactuca sativa (garden lettuce)
Lineage: Eukaryota; Viridiplantae; Streptophyta; Magnoliopsida; Asterales; Asteraceae
Source: RefSeq, a predicted model, not a curated record